UUGCCCUCUUAAGGCUGGUGGUGCUUUAAGUGGCCAAUACAGAGGGGUAAAGUAAUUCUCUCUUAAACCCAGAGGUGAGGAUAGAACUUUCCUCUGUAUCCUGUCGGGAGAAAUAAAG
Molecule: small nucleolar RNA, 118 nt
Filed under: Varanus komodoensis (Komodo dragon)
Lineage: Eukaryota; Metazoa; Chordata; Lepidosauria; Squamata; Varanidae
Description: Small nucleolar RNA SNORA26 (ENSVKKG00000018041.1)
Rfam family: Small nucleolar RNA SNORA26
About the family: The snoRNA HBI-6 belong to the H/ACA family of snoRNAs, guiding the pseudouridylation of position U4522 if the 28S rRNA. HBI-6 is the human orthologue of mouse MBI-6 snoRNA.
Source: Rfam by way of RNAcentral